GGCCGCAUGGCGCAACGGUAGCGGUAUGUCAUUUCUCCUGAAGGUUAUGUGUUCAAAUCACAUUGUGGUCA
This 71-nucleotide transfer RNA is filed under the name Talaromyces pinophilus. RNAcentral's name for it is "tRNA-Arg (TCT) (tRNA-Arg-TCT-3-1)". It matches the Rfam family "tRNA". From Rfam's summary of the family: Transfer RNA (tRNA) molecules are approximately 80 nucleotides in length. Their secondary structure includes four short double-helical elements and three loops (D, anti-codon, and T loops). Further hydrogen bonds mediate the characteristic L-shaped molecular structure. tRNAs have two regions of fundamental functional importance: the anti-codon, which is responsible for specific mRNA codon recognition, and the 3' end, to which the tRNAs corresponding amino acid is attached (by aminoacyl-tRNA synthetases). tRNAs cope with the degeneracy of the genetic code in two manners: having more than one tRNA (with a specific anti-codon) for a particular amino acid; and 'wobble' base-pairing, i.e. permitting non-standard base-pairing at the 3rd anti-codon position. The record is from RNAcentral. Lineage: Eukaryota; Fungi; Ascomycota; Eurotiomycetes; Eurotiales; Trichocomaceae.